Camelus dromedarius (Arabian camel) is the source of this 626-nucleotide long non-coding RNA. RefSeq lists it as uncharacterized. The record is from RefSeq and is a predicted model, not a curated record. NCBI's taxonomy places the organism in Eukaryota, Metazoa, Chordata, Mammalia, Artiodactyla, Camelidae. The transcript has 3 exons.
UUUCCUCAGGCACUAGUCUACAUUUCCAGUAAAAACUUGCUCGGCCACUUGUAUAGAAAGAGUAAUUAAUAUUUGAAUACUCAACUGACUGGUUCUCCUCGGGAGCAAGUAGCCAAGUAAACAUCCAAGAGAGAACAAGGGAAGGAACAAAAUGGCGCCAAGCCCAAAAGAAAAGUGUCUCAAUCAUCCUGCAACACCCUGGACGUGCCCACACAACAACAUCCUCUCUCCAGAGGUUCCUCAGGAUCCAGGAUGUGACAGAGGGGACACGUGCUCUGGAAAAGGAAAAACUAGCUGAGAUCGAAGGGCAUGUUCAAGCAGAAAGCUGUGCAACAGCGAGGGCUGCGAAGCUGACAAGGUUACUGAAAUCCAUUGAAGAUGGAAAAACAAACAUCAGAGUGAAAAAAGAACAAGGGUCCACAGGUAUGACGAAUCCAGGAAGAAUUAGCACAAAGAAAUAAAUGCAUGAGGUAAGUGCUUCAUAAUUAUUAAAGGUGGUUCACUUCAUCAGACUCUGAACAUAUCAGUGGCCAAAACAAAGAGGAAAACAUGACCAGUUACAGGAUUUAUGCUGUCCUUAUGGUAAAAACAUACUAGCUAUGCAGGACAAGGAGUUUACCCUGACA